Molecule: ribosomal RNA, 254 nt
Filed under: uncultured bacterium
Lineage: Bacteria
Description: partial 16S ribosomal RNA
Rfam family: Bacterial small subunit ribosomal RNA
Source: RNAcentral
UACGAAGGGGGCUAGCGUUGUUCGGAUUUACUGGGCGUAAAGCGCACGUAGGCGGAUCGAUCAGUCAGGGGUGAAAUCCCAGAGCUCAACUCUGGAACUGCCUUUGAUACUGUCGAUCUGGAGUAUGGAAGAGGUGAGUGGAAUUCCGAGUGUAGAGGUGAAAUUCGUAGAUAUUCGGAGGAACACCAGUGGCGAAGGGCGGCUCACUGGUCCAUUACUGACGCUGAGGUGCGAAAGCGUGGGGAGCAAACAGG